GCGUGCCUAAUACAUGCAAGUCGAACGCACUCUCGUUAGAUUGAAGAAGCUUGCUUCUGAUUGAUAACAUUUGAGUGAGUGGCGGACGGGUGAGUAACACGUGGGUAACCUGCCCUAAAGUGGGGGAUAACAUUUGGAAACAGAUGCUAAUACCGCAUAAAACCUAGCACCGCAUGGUGCAAGGUUGAAAGAUGGUUUCGGCUAUCACUUUAGGAUGGACCCGCGGUGCAUUAGUUAGUUGGUGAGGUAAAGGCUCACCAAGACCGUGAUGCAUAGCCGACCUGAGAGGGUAAUCGGCCACACUGGGACUGAGACACGGCCCAGACUCCUACGGGAGGCAGCAGUAGGGAAUCUUCCACAAUGGACGAAAGUCUGAUGGAGCAACGCCGCGUGAGUGAAGAAGGUUUUCGGAUCGUAAAACUCUGUUGUUGGAGAAGAACGUAUUUGAUAGUAACUGAUCAGGUAGUGACGGUAUCCAACCAGAAAGCCACGGCUAACUACGUGCCAGCAGCCGCGGUAAUACGUAGGUGGCAAGCGUUGUCCGGAUUUAUUGGGCGUAAAGCGAGCGCAGGCGGUUUCUUAAGUCUGAUGUGAAAGCCUUCGGCUCAACCGAAGAAGUGCAUCGGAAACUGGGAAACUUGAGUGCAGAAGAGGACAGUGGAACUCCAUGUGUAGCGGUGAAAUGCGUAGAUAUAUGGAAGAACACCAGUGGCGAAAGCGGCUGUCUGGUCUGUAACUGACGCUGAGCUCGAAAGCAUGGGUAGCAA
This 767-nucleotide ribosomal RNA is filed under the name uncultured bacterium. RNAcentral's name for it is "bacterial SSU rRNA". It matches the Rfam family "Bacterial small subunit ribosomal RNA", at positions 42 to 771 of the family's 1533-position model. The record is from RNAcentral.